CUGCUGCCUUCCGUAGGAGUUUGGACCGUGUCUCAGUUCCAAUGUGGGGGACCUUCCUCUCAGAACCCCUACUGAUCGUCGCCCCGGUGGGCCGUUACCCCGCCGGCAAGCUAAUCAGACGCAUCCCCAUCCUUUACCGGCCGAAGCCUUUGGUCAUGAAAAUAUGCAUCAACAUGACAACAUACGGUAUUAAUCCGCCUUUCGACGGGCUGUCCCAUAGUAAAGGGCAGGUUGGAUACGCGUUACUCACCCGUACGCCGGUCGCCAUCAG
This 271-nucleotide ribosomal RNA is filed under the name uncultured bacterium. RNAcentral describes it as "partial 16S ribosomal RNA". The record is from RNAcentral.